CCUACGGGCGGCAGCAGUGGGGAAUAUUGGACAAUGGGCGAAAGCCUGAUCCAGCCAUGCCGCGUGUGUGAAGAAGGCCUUCGGGUUGUAAAGCACUUUCAGUGGGGAAGAAAGCCUUGGGGCUAAUACCCUCGAGGAAGGACAUCACCCACAGAAGAAGCACCGGCUAACUCCGUGCCAGCAGCCGCGGUAAUACGGAGGGUGCGAGCGUUAAUCGGAAUUACUGGGCGUAAAGCGCGCGUAGGCGGUCUGAUAAGCCGGUUGUGAAAGCCCCGGGCUCAACCUGGGAACGGCAUCCGGAACUGUCAGGCUAGAGUGCAGGAGAGGAAGGUAGAAUUCCCGGUGGAGCGGUGAAAUGCGUAGAGAUCGGGAGGAAUACCAGUGGCGAAGGCGGCCUUCUGGACUGACACUGACGCUGAGGUGCGAAAGCGUGGGUAGCAAACAGGAUUAGAUACCCGGGUAGUC
This 465-nucleotide ribosomal RNA is filed under the name Vreelandella stevensii. RNAcentral's name for it is "partial 16S ribosomal RNA". It matches the Rfam family "Bacterial small subunit ribosomal RNA", at positions 338 to 795 of the family's 1533-position model. Lineage: Bacteria; Pseudomonadati; Pseudomonadota; Gammaproteobacteria; Oceanospirillales; Halomonadaceae. The record is from RNAcentral.